This 979-nucleotide long non-coding RNA is filed under the name Phascolarctos cinereus (koala). RNAcentral's name for it is "lncRNA (ENSPCIG00000017382.2)". Lineage: Eukaryota; Metazoa; Chordata; Mammalia; Diprotodontia; Phascolarctidae. The record is from RNAcentral.
AAUCACGGUCCAGUGGCCCAUCUCGAGGAGCGGCGCCGCUGAGCCCGGGAAACUGCGCUUGCAGUCCCUGCCCUCAAGAAGCUCACAUUCGAAUGGGAGAAAUGACCUAUGCCUGUGUACAUACACAAUCUAUACACUAUCUAUAAAUGCAAGCCGCCUUAUUUUUAUUCAAAGUCCCUCAAUUGCACCUGAGACUACAACUGCCCCUGAGACUACAACUGCCCCCUGGAUCAUUCCACCUCCCCCCAGGGAGCAGUAUUGCCGGCUUUGGGAAUCUAUGGUCUAGAAUGAUGAUCAACAAAACAUUGUGUCUGUAGUGCCUGCAGGAGUAAUUGCCAGGCUGCCUCUCCCAUGAUGUGACCAAGGACACUGGACUGGAAGCUUUGCUAUUCCCAAGGCUCUUGGAUUCUGGACUGUUUCCAUGAGGUCUGAGCAGAGAUGGUGGUCAGUGUGGUGGUGCUACUCUGACUCACCUGGCAACUUCAAAGGUCAGCUUCAAAUCCCACCUUCUUUGUGAAGCCUUGUCUACUUCUUCUAGUCCUCACUGAUUUGCCUUCUUGUUCUCAGUUCUAAUAGUAUGGUUCACAUCAGUCAAUUUAACUAUAUAUUCUCUUAUAUUGCUUUCAUUUAUUUCAAGAAUGGUAUUUUCGUCUACCAACUAGACUGUAAGCCUCUUGAGGUCAGGGCCUUGCUUUGUACAAUUGUCUGUAUGCUCCAUAAUGUAUAGCACAAGAUUGGCCUUAGCUUAAAAAGGUCUUCCACUGUAUCCCGGGCAGUCUCCAGUUGUCCUGAUCUACAUCUGGCCACUGGACCCAGAUGGCCCUGGAGGAAAAACUGAGCACAGUCUCAAAUUCACUCAAAUCCAAUUCACUUGCAAGUCAUGGAUUCAUCUUCCUGAUGUCAUGGUCCUCUUCGAGAACAAAGGACAAACCACACAAGCACAAGACUGAACAGAGAGUAGGAGAUCAAUAAAUGUUUA